CGACUCUCUCUUCCUCUCCGACCUCGUCACCUUCUUCCGGCCAUAACUCCUCCAUCCGGCGACGGAUUUUGACGUGUAAGAUGUCGUUGGAAAGCUCUCUUCCUUCUCUUGAUUUCUGGGUUCGUUUCGUAGCUUAAUAUGAACUGUGGAAGGUGCAGCAACGAGAAGAAGAUGACGGUCACUGUAGCAUUUUUGAGGCAGCGUCGAUAUUUUCCGAUUCCGGCCACCAACCGGCGUGCCACCGGUCACCAGAGGAGCGCCUCCUCCCUCCGAGCACCCUAGC
Molecule: long non-coding RNA, 283 nt
Filed under: Rosa chinensis
Lineage: Eukaryota; Viridiplantae; Streptophyta; Magnoliopsida; Rosales; Rosaceae
Description: sRNA RchiOBHm_Chr1g0355981
Source: RNAcentral